CUGCGGAAGGAUCAUUAUUGAAUGUCUGAAGCUAGUUGAGCUGGUUCUAACGGACAUGUGCUCGCUGCUUCUAUUCAUAUCAUCCACCUGUGCACUUAUUGUAGAGCUUUGGAGAAAGCCUUGGUUCACGCCAGGGUAAGUAUUCAGAGUUUCUAUGUUUUUAUAAACUCUAUGAAUGUCUAGAAUGUCUUUUAUUGGGACUUUGUUCCUUUAAACUUUAAAUACAACUUUCAGCAACGGAUCUCUUGGCUCUCGCAUCGAUGAAGAACGCAGCGAAAUGCGAUAAGUAAUGUGAAUUGCAGAAUUCAGUGAAUCAUCGAAUCUUUGAACGCACCUUGCGCCCUUUGGUAUUCCGAAGGGCAUGCCUGUUUGAGUGUCAUUAAAUUCUCAACUUCAAAAGCUUUUGUCUUUUUGAAGCUUGGACGUGAAGGCAUGCUGGCGUUCUUGAACGCUUUCAGCUCCUUUGAAAUGGAUUAGUGGACUCCUUUUUUGUGUUCAACCUUGGUGUGAUAAUUAUCUACGCUAUGGUGGCACUUGCUCUUUAGAACUUCGGGGUGUUUCUACAUUCUCGGUGUGGGGAGUUGCAUUUAUUGCUCUCUCUGUCUAUUGGGUUAGGAAUUGUCUGCUUCUAACUGUCUGCAUUUUGUGGACAACUUUUUGAACCAUUUGGCCUCAAAUCAGGUAGGACUACCCGCUGAACUUAAGCAUAUCA
This 712-nucleotide ribosomal RNA is filed under the name Marasmiaceae sp. cp071b. Its description in RNAcentral is "eukaryotic LSU rRNA". The stretch from base 226 to 379 matches the Rfam family "5.8S ribosomal RNA". The record is from RNAcentral. Lineage: Eukaryota; Fungi; Basidiomycota; Agaricomycetes; Agaricales; Marasmiaceae.